AUUCCAGCUCCAAUAGCGUAUAUUAAAGUUGUUGCGGUUAAAAAGCUCGUAGUUGGAUUUCUGCUGAGGACGACCGGUCCGCCCUCUGGGUGAGUAUCUGGCUCGGCCUUGGCAUCUUCUUGGGGAACGUAACUGCACUUGACUGUGUGGUGCGGUAUCCAGGACUUUUACUUUGAGGAAAUUAGAGUGUUUCAAGCAGGCGCACGCCUUGAAUACAUUAGCAUGGAAUAAUAAGAUAGGACCUUGGUUCUAUUUUGUUGGUUUCUAGAGCUGAGGUAAUGAUUAAUAGGGAUAGUUGGGGGCAUUCAUAUUUGAUUGUCAGAGGUGAAAUUCUUGGAUUUAUGAAAGAUGAACUUAUGCGAAAGCAUUUACCAAGGAUGUUUUCAUCG
Molecule: ribosomal RNA, 389 nt
Filed under: Gymnodiniaceae sp.
Lineage: Eukaryota; Dinophyceae; Gymnodiniales; Gymnodiniaceae
Description: partial small subunit ribosomal RNA
Rfam family: Eukaryotic small subunit ribosomal RNA
Source: RNAcentral